CAGAAUCUCCAUGCACUUGCUUCAUCGUGUCAUUACAAUCCAUCUGACUGACGAGGGGAAAGAAGGAGCUGAGGGUCAAGAAGCUCACUUGGACCACUGAGAGAGACACGGAGACCUAGACAAACUGCAAAAAAGAGAUCCUUGAAAGAAGAAAGAUGAGAGGCAGGCAGAAACGUUGGAGGCAAAACAGAGUCUACAGUAUCAGCGGAGGGAGGGCUCCUUAUUCUUCGGACAUUGUUUUCUGUUAUGUUGGUGUCAUGUGGACUCUGCAGUGGCACUGGCAAAACUGUGGAUACAUCAAGAAUAAGACAGGACAUUUAAGCAAAUAGACAGAAAUGGGACCUGUAGUGAAGGAAUGCUGUGAGAGAUGAUCCUCCGAUGACCUGGAGGUGACUCCUCCUCCCGACCCAGACUUCCCGCAGCAACCUGAGACAUUUUUUUGGUGAAGUUUAAACCAACAGAAUACCACUACAGUCUCUGUAGUCCUAUAUUGGCGUGUUUGUAACAUUGGAGAUUUUGGAGUUUUAAACUUCACAUGAGAAAAACACAACACACUGGUAAAAAGAAGGUUCUUGAUGUUAAAUCUGUUUUAAGGUGACAGGUUGCAGCUUUAUUAAACAACCAAACCUGCCCUAUUAUACACCUGGAUAUCAUGAUGUGAUGUUCAUUGUAGUCCACAACUUUAAGUACCGUUAAAGUUUUCCUACUUUUCUAUACGUAUCUUAUCUUGUUUGCUUCCACUUAUUUUGUGAUUAACACUUCAAACUUCCUUAAAGAAGAGAGAUGUUAACUUGUUCUGUUUCAGUCCAAGCCGGGUUGGGCCACAGAUAGUUAUGAUUGGCAGUAAUUGGGAUUUGUUGAUAAAUGCUGUUAUUCUCAGCUAAGCAAAAUAUAUAUACGAUAAAUUACAAAUAGCUGUUGAGUAUUUUUGAGUGGAUUUUCUCUUUAACAGUCUAUGGUCAUCAUGGCACUUUUAGAAACUCUUUGAUUGGAUUAUUGUCAAACAUAGUGAACAACUUACAAAUUACAAAUUACAUGUAUAUAAAAGAUAUUAUUACAAAAAAUAACUUUUCUGGUGUUCACCCAAAAAGUCAGUGUGGCACACAACACUGUCAAACAACAGAACAAAAGUUUGGAAUUGUUUUGUAAUUAAUUUGACAGAUUACAUUUAUGUUGUAAAUUAAAUGUAAAUCGCUUACCAACAAAUAUGGUUCCAAGAAGUGGUAAGAAAAGCAAGCAACCAAAACCAGUUAUGGUCCACCUUUUUGACUGCAGAGCCCCAAAACAAGCUGUCCUCUUCAUCAUAGUAGAAAGCCAAAUGCAGCACUGGAGAAGGAUCAUUACAAUGCUCCAGUUUUAAACAAUACACAAUAGACCAGACAUGAAAUAAUGGGUAUUACAUUUCAGUCGGUCUUUGUCUCUUCAGAAAGGCUGGGGGAGUGGUGGUUCAAUGUGGGGAAAGAUACUAAAAUAUCAUGUAGUUUAUUUGUUAUACUUACGUAAUACAAAGACAACUUCUCAUGAAAAACAGGGAACAAGAUACUGUGAAAAUGAACAACAACAAAAAACAUUAAUUAAACACAUGGAAGAAUAAUAUAAUAUGCAGUAAAGCAACAACACCAGCUUAGAUUCAUGUUACUGACAUUACGGAUAAUGUGAACUGUGUGCAGUAGAUUUAUAAAAUUUACACAGACUUUAAAAUGUGUUAGUUUUGUUGCCUUGAGUCCAAAAAAUAAAAAUGAUGCUUGUAACGGGAGAGAAUUUGCAGUUAAUAUCCAUGCGUCGGUUGAGGAAUGUGCCUUUGUAAACUGGGGCAAGCUCAUUAAGCAGACAACAGAACAGGUUUUUAGAGUUGUUAUGACACUUCUAAACAAAUCCCUGAAAUAAGAACAUCACACAGUGGGUUUACUGAGUGUGCCUGGAUUUUAAUUUUCUUUUUUUGUAUAACACACUAAAUGCGACUAUUAUCUAAGUUAACACUAGUCUUAAAACAUAUGAAAUUAUUCAAGCAAGUAAAGUCAAUUUUAUUUAUAGAGGCUUUUACAAUCUGGCAUUAAGAGGCUUUACAAUCUGUGCAGUAUACACCAUCCUCCGUCCUUUUGAUACCCUCAAUUCAGAAAGAAAAACUCUCCAAAAACCCUUAUGAUUACAUCAGAUCCAUUGAUAUAAUCCGGCUUAUUCUUUGAUUGAUCUUCCUAACAACAGUAUUGCUAUUAGGUUUGUAACAUUAUGUGCUGUGAAAAACCCCAAACCUAACCUAACUUCUCUUCUUCGUCUACUUUGAAAACUUUGGAGGAAUUUCUUUUUAUUUAUUUGUUUUGUCAAGGCAAUGCAGCGCACAUUAUUACAUGCAUGUUUAUUACAGUCAAAGCCAUAACAAUAUGUGUAGAUGUGUUGCAUAAAAAGUUUCUAGCCAAUAGGCUAAUUUGCAAUCCCAGUUCCUGGUCAGGCCUUUUAAAAAAAAUAAAAAAAAUAAACCAGAUAUAAUACAGGCAGGCAUCUAGCACAGACAAUACAUUACAACAAGGAAAACAGAGUAUGUGCAAGAAUGUGUGUACGUGCACCUGCUCCUGCAUUCAUGGACCUUAGUCACUGGAUACAUGUUUGGUUAUCUUUCAGCCAGUCUUUAACCGUUCUAUUAAAUGUUUUCAGUUCGACUUGUGUUUGUUUUUCAGUUGGUCAAUUUUUUACAAAAAUGGGGCCCUAUCACUGAAAAACAUGACUGGCUGAAAGUGGUUUUGCGCUCCUCUGCUAAGCUGUUGCCACCCACUGCUCCCUUUGUGGCCACUCUCCUUGUAUUUAUUUUUGUCGUCAAAGGACAGACUAGAUUAUUUGCACAUUUAAAAAUCAAUUUAAGAAAAGAGAACUUAAUGAAGCUAUCACAAUUUAAAAGGUUGUAUUUCUGGACAAUC
Long non-coding RNA from Etheostoma spectabile (orangethroat darter), 2912 nucleotides. RefSeq lists it as uncharacterized. NCBI's taxonomy places the organism in Eukaryota, Metazoa, Chordata, Actinopteri, Perciformes, Percidae. The record is from RefSeq and is a predicted model, not a curated record. The transcript has 4 exons.